RNAcentral lists this ribosomal RNA (503 nucleotides) under uncultured bacterium. Its description in RNAcentral is "partial 16S ribosomal RNA". It matches the Rfam family "Bacterial small subunit ribosomal RNA", at positions 28 to 523 of the family's 1533-position model. The record is from RNAcentral.
GAUGAACGCUGGCGGCGUGCCUAAUACAUGCAAGUCGAACGAAGAUCCAGCUUGCUAGAUCUUAGUGGCGAACGGGUGAGUAAUACAUAAAUAAUCUGCCCAUAUGACUGGGAUAACUAUUGGAAACGAUAGCUAAUACCGGAUAGGUUGAUUGGAGGCAUCUCUGAUUAAUUAAAGUAGGAUUUCUACACAAAUGGAUGAGUUUAUGGCGCAUUAGUUAGUUGGUGGGGUAACGGCCUACCAAGACGAUGAUGCGUAGCCGACCUGAGAGGGUGACCGGCCACACUGGGACUGAGACACGGCCCAGACUCCUCCGGGAGGCAGCAGUAGGGAAUUUUCGGCAAUGGGCGCAAGCCUGACCGAGCAACGCCGCGUGAGUGAUUAAGGCCUUCGGGUUGUAAAGCUCUGUUGUAAGGGAAGAACAUUCAGGAUAGGAAAUGAUCUUGAACUGACGGUACCUUACCAGAAAGCCACGGCUAACUACGUGCCAGCAGCCGCCGUAA